UACGUAGGCAGCGAGCGUUGUUCGGAGUUACUGGGCGUAAAGGGCGCGUAGGCGGCCCGCUAAGUCGAACGUGAAAUCCCUGGGCUCAACCCAGGAACUGCGUCCGAUACUGGCAGGCUUGAAUCCGGGAGAGGGAUGUGGAAUUCCAGGUGUAGCGGUGAAAUGCGUAGAUAUCUGGAGGAACACCGGUGGCGAAGGCGGCAUCCUGGACCGGUAUUGACGCUGAUGCGCGAAAGCCAGGGGAGCAAAGC
Molecule: ribosomal RNA, 251 nt
Filed under: uncultured bacterium
Lineage: Bacteria
Description: partial 16S ribosomal RNA
Rfam family: Bacterial small subunit ribosomal RNA
Source: RNAcentral